RNAcentral lists this unclassified non-coding RNA (216 nucleotides) under rhizosphere metagenome. RNAcentral's name for it is "partial ribosomal RNA internal transcribed spacer region". The record is from RNAcentral.
GAAAUUAUAGGCGAGGGUUGUAGCUGGCCUCUCGGGGCAUGUGCACGCCCGAGCCCUUAAUCCACACACACCUGUGAACCUAUUGUAAGGGCCCGUGAAAAGGCCUUUACGUCUUUAUAAACCCAUCGUAUGUCUCAUAGAAUGUAAUUAUAUGUCCUCGCCUUAAAAAAGCGUUGAUAAACUUAUACAACUUUCAACAACGGAUCUCUUGGCUCU